RNAcentral lists this ribosomal RNA (292 nucleotides) under uncultured Acidobacteriota bacterium. Its description in RNAcentral is "uncultured Acidobacteria bacterium partial 16S ribosomal RNA". The record is from RNAcentral. Lineage: Bacteria; Pseudomonadati; Acidobacteriota.
GGACUACAAGGGUAUCUAAUCCUGUUUGCUACCCACGCUUUCGCGCAUCAGCGUCAGUACCGGUCCAGGUAGCCGCCUUCGCCACUGGUGUUCCUCCCAAUAUCUACGCAUUUCACCGCUACAUUGGGAAUUCCGCUACCCCCUCCCGGCCUCAAGCCUUACAGUUUCAAAGGCAGUUCCUCAGUUGAGCCGAGGGAUUUCACCUUUGACUUAUAAAGCCGCCUACGCGCCCUUUACGCCCAAUAAUUCCGAAUAACGCUCGCCCCCUCCGUAUUACCGCGGCUGCUGGCAC